Molecule: ribosomal RNA, 280 nt
Filed under: uncultured Chloroflexota bacterium
Lineage: Bacteria; Bacillati; Chloroflexota
Description: uncultured Chloroflexi bacterium partial 16S ribosomal RNA
Rfam family: Bacterial small subunit ribosomal RNA
Source: RNAcentral
GAUGAACGCUGGCGGCGUGCCUAAUACAUGCAAGUCGAACGAGGUGCUUGAGUAGCAAUACAAGAGUAUCCUAGUGGCGAACGGGUGAGUAACGCGUGGAUGACCUGCCCCAAAGUGUGGGAUAACAGUCCGAAAGGAUUGCUAAUACCUCAUGUGGUUAUCGGGUUUAGAAACUGAUAACUAAAGCAGCAAUGCGCUUUGGGAGGGAUCUGCGUCCCAUCAGCUAGUUGGUGAGGUAACGGCUCACCAAGGCGACGACGGGUAGGGGACCUGAGAGGGU